UACGUAGGGUGCGAGCGUUGUCCGGAAUUAUUGGGCGUAAAGAGCUCGUAGGCGGUGUGUCACGUCGGCCGUGAAAACCCGCAGCUCAACUGUGGGCUUGCAGCUGAUACGGGCAGGCUUGAGUUCGGUAGGGGAGACUGGAAUUCCUGGUGUAGCGGUGAAAUGCGCAGAUAUCAGGAGGAACACCGGUGGCGAAGGCGGGUCUCUGGGCCGAUACUGACGCUGAGGAGCGAAAGCGUGGGGAGCGAACAGG
RNAcentral lists this ribosomal RNA (253 nucleotides) under uncultured bacterium. Its description in RNAcentral is "partial 16S ribosomal RNA". It matches the Rfam family "Bacterial small subunit ribosomal RNA", at positions 524 to 776 of the family's 1533-position model. The record is from RNAcentral.